GGCAGUGCAGCACAGUGGGUAAGGAACUGGGCUUGUAACCAAAAGGUCAUAGGUUCAAUUCCUGGGUAUGAACACUGCCG
This 80-nucleotide transfer RNA is filed under the name Anguilla anguilla (European eel). Its description in RNAcentral is "tRNA-OTHER". The record is from RNAcentral. Lineage: Eukaryota; Metazoa; Chordata; Actinopteri; Anguilliformes; Anguillidae.